This 72-nucleotide transfer RNA is filed under the name Ictidomys tridecemlineatus (thirteen-lined ground squirrel). Its description in RNAcentral is "Spermophilus tridecemlineatus (thirteen-lined ground squirrel) tRNA". It matches the Rfam family "tRNA". From Rfam's summary of the family: Transfer RNA (tRNA) molecules are approximately 80 nucleotides in length. Their secondary structure includes four short double-helical elements and three loops (D, anti-codon, and T loops). Lineage: Eukaryota; Metazoa; Chordata; Mammalia; Rodentia; Sciuridae. The record is from Rfam by way of RNAcentral.
UCGGGUGUGGCUCAGUGGUAGAGCACUCGCCUAGCACGUGAGAGACGCUGAGUUCCAUCUUCAGCACCACAU